CCCUUAGAUGUUCUGGGCUGCACGCGCGCUACACUGAUGCACUCAACGAGUUUACGACCUUGCCCGAUAGGGUUGGGUAAUCUUUUUAAAAUGCAUCGUGAUGGGGAUAGAUUAUUGCAAUUAUUAAUCUUCAACGAGGAAUUCCUAGUAAGCGCGAGUCAUCAGCUCGUGCUGAUUACGUCCCCGCCCUUUGUACACACCGCCCGUCGCUCCUACCGAUUGAGUGCUCAGGUGAAUAAUUCGGACUGCAGCAAUGUUUGGAUCCCGAACGUUGCAGCGGAAAGUUUAGUGAACCUUAUCACUUAGAGGAAGGAGAAGUCGUAACA
Molecule: ribosomal RNA, 326 nt
Filed under: uncultured eukaryote
Lineage: Eukaryota
Description: partial 18S ribosomal RNA
Rfam family: Eukaryotic small subunit ribosomal RNA
Source: RNAcentral